RNAcentral lists this ribosomal RNA (777 nucleotides) under Vitreoporus orientalis. RNAcentral describes it as "LSU rRNA". It matches the Rfam family "Eukaryotic large subunit ribosomal RNA", at positions 77 to 840 of the family's 3401-position model. Lineage: Eukaryota; Fungi; Basidiomycota; Agaricomycetes; Polyporales; Irpicaceae. The record is from RNAcentral.
CCCCUAGUAACUGCGAGUGAAGCGGGAAAAGCUCAAAUUUAAAAUCUGGCAGUCUUUGAUUGUCCGAGUUGUAGUCUAGAGAAGCAUUUUCCGCGUUGGACCGUGUACAAGUCUCUUGGAAUAGAGCGUCAUAGAGGGUGAGAAUCCCGUCCAUGACACGGACUACCAGUGCUUUGUGAUGUGCUCUCAAAGAGUCGAGUUGUUUGGGAAUGCAGCUCAAAAUGGGUGGUAAAUUCCAUCUAAAGCUAAAUAUUGGCGAGAGACCGAUAGCGAACAAGUACCGUGAGGGAAAGAUGAAAAGCACUUUGGAAAGAGAGUUAAACAGUACGUGAAAUUGCUGAAAGGGAAACGAUUGAAGUCAGUCGCGUUAUUCAGAACUCAGCCUUACUUCGGUAUGGUGCAUUUUCUGUUUAACGGGCCAGCAUCAGUUUUGACCGCUGGAAAAAGGUUAGAGAAAUGUGGCACCUUCGGGUGUGUUAUAGUCUCUGAUUGUAUACAGUGGUUGGGACUGAGGAACUCAGUACACCUUUAUGGUCGGGGUUCGCCCACGUUUGUACUUAGGAUGCUGGCGUAAUGGCUUUAAGCGACCCGUCUUGAAACACGGACCAAGGAGUCUAACAUGCCUGCGAGUGUUUGGGUGGUAAACCCGAGCGCGUAAUGAAAGUGAAAGUUGGGAUCUCUGUCGUGGAGAGCACCGACGCCCGGCCCUGAACUUCUGUGACGGACCUGCGGUAGAGCAUGUAUGUUGGGACCCGAAAGAUGGUGAACUAUGCCUGA